Molecule: ribosomal RNA, 372 nt
Filed under: uncultured bacterium
Lineage: Bacteria
Description: bacterial SSU rRNA
Rfam family: Bacterial small subunit ribosomal RNA
Source: RNAcentral
AGCGAACGCUAGCGGAUGGCUUAACACAUGCAAGUCGAGCGGGCAGCUUCGGCUGUCCAGCGGCGAACGGGUGCGUAACACGUGGGUAAUUUGCCUUCUGGUGGGGGAUAACCCGACGAAAGUCGGGCUAAUACCGCAUAUGGCCUACGGGUCAAAGCAGCAAUGCGCCAGUUGAUGAGCCCGCGGCCCAUUAUUUAAUCCUAGUUGGCGGGGUAACGGCCCACCAAGGGUACGAUGGGUAGCUGGUCUGAGAGGACGAUCAGCCACACUGGGACUGAGACACGGCCCAGACUCCUACGGGAGGCAGCAGUGGGGAAUAUUGCGCAAUGGGCGAAAGCCUGACGCAGCCAAUCCGCGUGGGUGAUGAAGGCC